RNAcentral lists this long non-coding RNA (2989 nucleotides) under Marmota monax (woodchuck). The record is from RNAcentral. Lineage: Eukaryota; Metazoa; Chordata; Mammalia; Rodentia; Sciuridae.
AUAUUAUCUGUGCCCUUUUCUGUUGUGGAGGCUGCUGUUUUUAUUUGGUUUUUACUUUGUGUCCUUUCAUGGUUUGUUUUCUCGGUGGUUGUCUUGGUGGUUGUUUCCUUCUUUCUAAGCAGUAUUCGGGAUUGGGUCUGACACUUGGACUAGAUUUGGUGGCUCCUCUGCCACAAAGCCACACUCCCAGCCCAGCUCGGAGAAAUUGCACCUUACUCCAUCUGAAAACUAACCCACCCACGCAAUCUACUGGACCCACAUAGGAAGGACUUGGAAGUCCUGCUCCUGGGCAUCAACACCCAUAGCAAAGUGGCUGUGGACACCAGGUGUAAGAGGGACCUCAGCACAGGGGACUUCAUACCCUAUCAGAGCCACAGGUUGCUGACUAGAUGGGAGGAGAACUCACAGAGGGGACAACUCAUAUGCUCUGCUGUCUACACCACACCUGUUUGAACUACCAGAGAGGACCCCUCCACCAGGGACCCCCCCCCCACCCAACACCAUCUUGAGAGACCUAUAGAGAAACCAGGGCCCUCAGCUCCAACACAGUGUUCAUUGUGCCAAAUCCCACCCAUCGCAGUCAAAGAAGCCACAGGGAGAGUAGACUGUGAGGUUGGAUUGGAAUUAAACCCAAUACUACCCAGCCAACCAAUGUCCCAGGGCACACCAUUGGGAGGAGGAGGCAGCUAAGUAAGAAGGCCUUCACACAGAAGUGGAGGAGAAAUCUGUCACAACUGAUGCCCAGACGCAGUGUGGAAUCACGGGGACUAUGGCAAAACAGGCGCACAGCCCCCGUGAGACGUUCCUAAUGCUCUAGUCACUAACUCCAAAGGAUCAAAGUGGAUGGAAUGAACGCUGGGCAAAGACUUCUAAAGAAUGAGUUAAAAAACCUCAGUGAGUUCCAAGAGCGUACAGGUAAACGUCUGCACCAAGGAAGGGAGACAUUGCACGUCCAGAUGAGCAGCAGGUCCAUAAAGAGACAGAGAUCUUGAAAAAGAAUCACACAGAAAUCCUGGGAGUGAAAAGCUCAGUAAGUCAGAUGAAAACUUGGGCAGAAGAAAGAGAAUUGGGGAAAACAAAAAAGGCAAGUGAAUCAGGGAUUGAAGAGUAGACUGAGGAAUUAUCGUAUUGAGAGGGUAGUAAAGGAAGAGGAAAGAAAAUGAACAGAAUGCACCAGAUCUCUGGGGCCCUCUAGAAGACCAAACAUACACAUAAUUGGAAUAGAUGAGGGAGAGCAGCUACAUCCAGAGGAUGCAGAAUACACAUUAUUUUCAUUAGCACAUGAAACUUUUUCCAAAAUAGAUCAUGUAGUAGAUGACGGAGCAAGUAUCAACAAAUCUAAAAAAAGUUGACAUUGCGUUUUUGCAUCUUAUCAGAUCAUAGUAGAAUGAAAUUGGACACCAACAGCAAGAGGAAUUGUACAAGUUAUACAAACACAUGGAUAUUGAAUAAUACAGACUUUUGAACAGUCAGUCAGUCAUUGAAGAUAUGAGAGGGAAAUUUAAAAGUUUCUCAAAUUAAAUGAAAAUAGAAACACAACAUACCAGAAACUAUGUGAUACAGUGAAAGCAAUACUAAAAAGAAAACUUACGGUUAUGAGUGCCUACAUUUAAAAAAUGGAUCUCAACUUGCUUUUCAUCUUUCGCAGUCAAAGAAGCCACAGGGAGAGUGCGCUCUCAGUGUGUCUCAAGGUCUUAGAAAAACAUGGACAAAGCAAAUCCAAAAUCAGUAGAAAGAAAGAAAGAAAGAAUAAAGAUCAGGAUAGAAAUAAAUGAAAUAAAGGUGAAAAGAAUAAUACAAAUGAUCAAUGAAACAAAAGGUUGGUUCUUUGAAAAGAUAAAAAUGACAAACCCUUAGCUAAACUAACCAAAAGAAAGCAAAAAGCAGAAAACUUGGAAUGAAAUCACCAUUUGACCCAGUUAUUCCACUCCUCGGCAUAUACUCAAAGGACUUAAAAUCAGCAUGCUGCAGUGCCAUAACCACAUCAAUAUUUAUGGCAGCUGAAUCCACAGGAGCAAAGCUAUGGAGCCACCCUAGUUUCCCUUUAACAGAUGAAUGGAUAAAGAAAAUGUGGUAUAUAUACAUAAUGGAGUAUUACUCAGCCAUAAAAAAGAAUGAAAUUAUGGCAUUUGCUGGUAAAUGGAUGGAACUGGAGACUAUCAUGCUAAGUGAAAUAAAGCAGUCCAAAAAAACCAAAUGCCAAAUAUUCUCUCUAUACAGUUGCUAACAGAAUAACUGUGGGGGAGGGAAGAAUAGACGUUCACUGGAUUGGGCAAAGAGGAAUGAAGGGAAGGGAAGGAGUAUGAAUGAACCAAACAGAUCUUUCCUAUGUUCAUAUAUGAAUACACAAACAGUGUGACUCCACAACAUGUUCAAUCCCAAAUACUCCAUGUAGGUAUAAUACAUCAAAUACAUUCUACUGUUAUGUAUAACUAAAAAGGGCAAAUAAAAAUAUUUUUUUUUUAAAAAAGAGGAGCAAGGCAUCCCAAGUAAUUAAAAUGAGAACUGAAAAGGGGGAUAUUACAACAGAUACCUCUGAAAUUCAUAGAUAGGAUCACCAUGGAAUAUUUUGAAAAAAAAAUGUAUGACAAUUAACUUAAAAAUCUAGAAGAAAUGGAAAAUGUCUGGACACAUAUGACGUACCAAAAUUGAAACUAGAGGAUACUCUUAUCAGAUUUUGGUACUAGGAUGAUAGAUAAGAAUCUGAUAAGAGAGAGAAAGAGAGAGAGAAAUAAGUAUAAAAAUCUUCAGUGAAAUACAUGCAAGUUGAAUUCAGCAGCUUAUUAAGAAUAUCAUACACCAUGAUCAACUUGGUUUUAUUUCAGGAAUGCAAGGGUGGUGCAAUGCAUACAAAUUGAUGAAUAUAUUAUGGAACAUUAAUAGAAUCAAGGAUAAAAAUUGCAUUAUCAUCUCAGUAGAUGCAGAAAAAGACUGAUACAAUUCAAUAUAUCUUCAUGAUAAAAUUCCAGAAUAAAUUAGGUAUAGAAGG